GUAGAUAUAGUCUGAUGAGGAGCUGCAGAGCAGCUAAAAAUUUUGAAAACAGGAGGGAAGAAAAAUUGUCUAAAAGAAGCCAUGAGGAGCAAGUGCCUCAACUCAACUUCAAGGACCUGUUCUAUGGGAGCCGGGAGAAAAAAGCAGUCACCAGUUAGGAGAGAUAUGACAGUAUCUGGAUCCUCAAGUGACGGUAGUACUUCAUCAGCUCAAAAUUUGAAAAAAAAAAACUGGGAUGUUGCUAUGCCAGCAGAUGGGGCCAAGGAAUCCAGCCUCACAG
Molecule: long non-coding RNA, 280 nt
Filed under: Homo sapiens (human)
Lineage: Eukaryota; Metazoa; Chordata; Mammalia; Primates; Hominidae
Description: HSALNT0059193
Source: RNAcentral